This 485-nucleotide ribosomal RNA is filed under the name uncultured bacterium. RNAcentral describes it as "bacterial SSU rRNA". It matches the Rfam family "Bacterial small subunit ribosomal RNA", at positions 28 to 507 of the family's 1533-position model. The record is from RNAcentral.
GACGAACGCUGGCGGCGUGGAUUAGGCAUGCAAGUCGAACGGUAUCAUCCUUCGGGGUGAGAGAGUGGCGAACUGGUGAGUAACACGUAGGUUAUCUACCCUCAAGACGGGGACAACCCAGGGAAACUUGGGCUAAUACCGGAUGUGAGCAACUUUUAGUUGUUUGAAAGGUGGCGUAAGCUGUCGCUUGGGGAUGAGCCUGCGUCCUAUUAGUUAGUUGGUGAGGUAACGGCUCACCUAGGCAAUGAUAGGUAGGCGGCCUUAACGGGUGGUCGCCCACACUGGGAUUGAGAUACGGCCCAGACUCCUACGGGAGGCAGCAGUCGAGAAUAGUCUACAAUGGUCGGAAGACUGAUAGUGCGACGCCGCGUGAACGAUGAAUCCCUUCGGGGUGUAAAGUUCUUUUAUAUGUGAGCAGUGCUUCUUAUAUUAACAGUAUGGGGAGAGAGAUAUUAGCAUAUGAAUAAGCAACGGCUAACUCCGUG